UACGUAGGGGGCAAGCGUUGUCCGGAAUUAUUGGGCGUAACGAGCGUGUAGGCGGUCCGGUAAGUCAGCUGUGAAAGUCAAGGGCUCAACCCUUGAAUGCCGGUUGAUACUGUCGGGCUAGAGUCCGGAAGAGGCGAGUGGAAUUCCCGGUGUAGCGGUGAAAUGCGCAGAUAUCGGGAGGAACACCAAUGGCGAAGGCAGCUCGCUGGGACGGUACUGACGCUGAGACGCGAAAGCGUGGGGAGCAAACAGG
RNAcentral lists this ribosomal RNA (253 nucleotides) under uncultured bacterium. RNAcentral describes it as "partial 16S ribosomal RNA". It matches the Rfam family "Bacterial small subunit ribosomal RNA", at positions 524 to 776 of the family's 1533-position model. The record is from RNAcentral.